GAUGAACGCUGGCGGCGUGCCUAAUACAUGCAAGUCGAGCGAACAGACGAGGAGCUUGCUCCUCUGACGUUAGCGGCUGACGGGUGAGUAACACGUGGAUAACCUACCUAUAAGACUGGGAUAACUUCGGGAAACCGGAGCUAAUACCGGGUAAUAUAUUGUACCGCAUGGUUCAAUAGUGCAAGACGGUUUUGCUGUCACUUAUAGAUAGCUCCGCGCCGCAUUAGCUUGUUUGUAAGGUAACGGCUUACUAAGGCAACGAUGCCUAGGGGACUUGAAAGGUUGAUCGGCCACACUGGUUCUUGUACACAGUCCAGUCUCCUACGCUAGGCCGCAGUCGGCAAUUCGCCGCAACGGGCGCAAGGCUGACGUAGCAACGUCGCCAGAGUGAGGAAGGCCUUGGGAUCGUAAAACUCUGCUAGUAGGGGAGAACAAAAGUGUAAGUAACUGUGCACGUUUUGACGGUACCUAAGCAGAGAGCCAAGGCUAACUACGUG
This 497-nucleotide ribosomal RNA is filed under the name uncultured bacterium. RNAcentral describes it as "partial 16S ribosomal RNA". It matches the Rfam family "Bacterial small subunit ribosomal RNA", at positions 28 to 507 of the family's 1533-position model. The record is from RNAcentral.